UUUGACCUCGGAUCAGGUAGGGAUACCCGCUGAACUUAAGCAUAUCAAUAAGCGGAGGAAAAGAAACCAACAGGGAUUGCCUCAGUAACGGCGAGUGAAGCGGCAACAGCUCAAAUUUGAAAUCUGGCUCUUUCAGGGUCCGAGUUGUAAUUUGUAGAAGAUGUUUCGAGUGUGGCUCCGGUCUAAGUUCCUUGGAACAGGACGUCAUAGAGGGUGAGAAUCCCGUAUGUGACUGGUUGCCUUCGCUCAUGUGAAACUCUUUCGACGAGUCGAGUUGUUUGGGAAUGCAGCUCAAAAUGGGUGGUAAAUUUCAUCUAAAGCUAAAU
RNAcentral lists this ribosomal RNA (326 nucleotides) under Stipitochalara longipes. RNAcentral's name for it is "eukaryotic LSU rRNA". It matches the Rfam family "Eukaryotic large subunit ribosomal RNA", at positions 1 to 321 of the family's 3401-position model. The record is from RNAcentral. Lineage: Eukaryota; Fungi; Ascomycota; Leotiomycetes; Helotiales; Hamatocanthoscyphaceae.